AAAGCUUGAGAGAAAAUGCCAGGGGAAAGCAUGGAAACUUUCUGGGGAUAAACUAUGGGUCUCCACCUUUGCACUUAAUCAGGGGACAGCCACUAACCCCAGUAGCUGCAUGCUUUCUGCCACCUUCAUCUACCUGAGCAAAACUUCAAGGACAUGUUUAUGCUGAAUCUCCAGAGAGAGCAAUAGAAGCCCAGCUUGAGGGAAAUGACUGGACCUUGAUUACUUAGGAUAAAAAGAGAUCAAUUUAUGGUGGAUGAAGUUUUGUGUUUGCUCUACUGACCUGAAGUGAGGAACAACCACAUACAUCUUUGUCUUCACUCUGUCCAGCUGUCAACUGCAUUGUUCCCUCACGUCUUCCUGCAAAGUACCAUUAUUUCCACACCUUAAGAAUUAAAGAGUGAAGAGAAAACGACAAAAUGUUCUUGUUUAUCAGGAGAUGGGGGUGAGCUGAGCUUUCCACAAGGUCCUGAAUGGAUGAGAAGGACCCAAAACAUAUGGAAAAUAUGGAGAAUAGGGUAUAAGUAAUAAAAAUAAAAAUAAAAUAAAUAAAAUAAAUUGGGAA
Long non-coding RNA from Homo sapiens (human), 562 nucleotides. Ensembl annotates it as regulator of chondrogenesis RNA. Its record names the gene ROCR. The record is from Ensembl. NCBI's taxonomy places the organism in Eukaryota, Metazoa, Chordata, Mammalia, Primates, Hominidae.